Long non-coding RNA from Thalassophryne amazonica, 133 nucleotides. RefSeq lists it as uncharacterized. The transcript has 2 exons. NCBI's taxonomy places the organism in Eukaryota, Metazoa, Chordata, Actinopteri, Batrachoidiformes, Batrachoididae. The record is from RefSeq and is a predicted model, not a curated record.
UGCUUGUUGGAUUUAAGCAUUCGCAGGUGAUAUGUAUUUGUGUAAUGAGGGAGGGUGUGGCCUAAAGUGAUUAACACCCAAAAUCAAGGUGUGCAUAAUUAUUAGGCAGCUUCUUUACCUCAGGAAAAAAUGG